Molecule: ribosomal RNA, 465 nt
Filed under: Vreelandella stevensii
Lineage: Bacteria; Pseudomonadati; Pseudomonadota; Gammaproteobacteria; Oceanospirillales; Halomonadaceae
Description: partial 16S ribosomal RNA
Rfam family: Bacterial small subunit ribosomal RNA
Source: RNAcentral
CCUACGGGUGGCAGCAGUGGGGAAUAUUGGACAAUGGGGGGAACCCUGAUCCAGCCAUGCCGCGUGUGUGAAGAAGGCCCUCGGGUUGUAAGGCACUUUCAGUGAGGAAGAACGCCUGGUGGUUAAUACCCAUCAGGAAAGACAUCACUCACAGAAGAAGCACCGGCUAACUCCGUGCCAGCAGCCGCGGUAAUACGGAGGGUGCGAGCGUUAAUCGGAAUUACUGGGCGUAAAGCGCGCGUAGGUGGCUUGAUAAGCCGGUUGUGAAAGCCCCGGGCUCAACCUGGGAACGGCAUCCGGAACUGUCAAGCUAGAGUGCAGGAGAGGAAGGUAGAAUUCCCGGUGUAGCGGUGAAAUGCGUAGAGAUCGGGAGGAAUACCAGUGGCGAAGGCGGCCUUCUGGACUGACACUGACACUGAGGUGCGAAAGCGUGGGUAGCAAACAGGAUUAGAUACCCUAGUAGUC